This 709-nucleotide ribosomal RNA is filed under the name Bacillus licheniformis. RNAcentral's name for it is "bacterial SSU rRNA". It matches the Rfam family "Bacterial small subunit ribosomal RNA", at positions 48 to 738 of the family's 1533-position model. Lineage: Bacteria; Bacillati; Bacillota; Bacilli; Caryophanales; Bacillaceae. The record is from RNAcentral.
CCUAUACAUGCAAGUCGAGCGGACCGACGGGAGCUUGCUCCCUUAGGUCAGCGGCGGACGGGUGAGUAACACGUGGGUAACCUGCCUGUAAGACUGGGAUAACUCCGGGAAACCGGGGCUAAUACCGGAUGCUUGAUUGAACCGCAUGGUUCAAUCAUAAAAGGUGGCUUUUAGCUACCACUURCAGAUGGACCCGCGGCGCAUUAGCUAGUUGGUGAGGUAACGGCUCACCAAGGCGACGAUGCGUAGCCGACCUGAGAGGGUGAUCGGCCACACUGGGACUGAGACACGGCCCAGACUCCUACGGGAGGCAGCAGUAGGGAAUCUUCCGCAAUGGACGAAAGUCUGACGGAGCAACGCCGCGUGAGUGAUGAAGGUUUUCGGAUCGUAAAACUCUGUUGUUAGGGAAGAACAAGUACCGUUCGAAUAGGGCGGYACCUUGACGGUACCUAACCAGAAAGCCACGGCUAACUACGUGCCAGCAGCCGCGGUAAUACGUAGGUGGCAAGCGUUGUCCGGAAUUAUUGGGCGUAAAGCGCGCGCAGGCGGUUUCUUAAGUCUGAUGUGAAAGCCCCCGGCUCAACCGGGGAGGGUCAUUGGAAACUGGGGAACUUGAGUGCASAAGAGGAGAGUGGAAUUCCACGUGUAGCGGUGAAAUGCGUAUAGAUGUGGAGGAACACMASUGGSGAAGGCGACUCUCUGGUCUGUA